Molecule: long non-coding RNA, 80 nt
Organism: Thalassophryne amazonica
Lineage: Eukaryota; Metazoa; Chordata; Actinopteri; Batrachoidiformes; Batrachoididae
Exons: 3
Source: RefSeq, a predicted model, not a curated record
CUUGUUCUUUCAGUCAUGAGCGAAAUCUCAUGACCAUAGGUGAGGAUAGGAGUGUAAAUCGACUGAUAAAUUGAGAGCCU